Long non-coding RNA from Neopelma chrysocephalum (saffron-crested tyrant-manakin), 377 nucleotides. RefSeq lists it as uncharacterized. Lineage: Eukaryota; Metazoa; Chordata; Aves; Passeriformes; Pipridae. The transcript has 3 exons. The record is from RefSeq and is a predicted model, not a curated record.
CCCGGGUGGGCCACCGGGCCCACGCCGCUCAUGGAGGACAUGCUGAGGGGCUGGCUGUUGGUGUACAAGGGCUGGCUCUGGAGGAGUGCGUGAUCAGGGCGGGCUGGCUGCCCGCUGCCACCGUGGUGACCCAGGGCGCUGCACCUGCGGCACAAAGGAAGGUCAGCAAUGGUGGUGGGCUCGGCACGGGGUAGAACACAAAUAAACACUCCCAGCCUUCCCCUCCCGCACCUGUGCCUGCCACCGAAUCGCGCCGAUGCGCCCCCCUGCACGACACCUGAAGCAGUUCAGGGUCUGGAGCCGUUCCCAAGCAAUGGAGGCUCAUCAGUGUCCCAGGGUGUGGACUGAUUGAUGGGUGUCUGUCCCCACCUGACGCU